This 24-nucleotide ribosomal RNA is filed under the name Bromus speciosus. RNAcentral describes it as "partial 18S ribosomal RNA". The record is from RNAcentral. Lineage: Eukaryota; Viridiplantae; Streptophyta; Magnoliopsida; Poales; Poaceae.
ACCUGGUUGAAUCCCUGCCAGUAG